GGAAGUAAAAGUCGUAACAGGGUUUCCGUAGGUGAACCAGCGGAGGGAUCAUUACAGGACUCGCAAGACUCCUACAACCCUGUGAACUUAACUAUAAGCACGUUGCUUCGGCGGGUGUCUCGGAGGGGGUUCUCCCUCCCCGAGACGCUAAACCCGCCGGCAGCCUACUAUACUCUGUCUCUUUGCGUUGGCAUCUCGAGUACAAUCAAACAAGUUAAAACUUUCAACAGCGGAUCUCUUGGUUCUG
RNAcentral lists this unclassified non-coding RNA (247 nucleotides) under plant metagenome. Its description in RNAcentral is "partial contains small subunit ribosomal RNA, internal transcribed spacer 1, and 5.8S ribosomal RNA". The stretch from base 1 to 54 matches the Rfam family "Eukaryotic small subunit ribosomal RNA", at positions 1778 to 1831 of the family's 1831-position model. The record is from RNAcentral.